CAACUUUCAACAACGGAUCUCUUGGCUCUCGCAUCGAUGAAGAACGCAGCGAAAUGCGAUAAGUAAUGUGAAUUGCAGAAUUCAGUGAAUCAUCGAAUUUUUGAACGCACCUUGCGCUCCUUGGUAUUCCGAGGAGCAUGCCUGUUUGAGUGUCACGA
Molecule: ribosomal RNA, 158 nt
Filed under: Tricholoma luteomaculosum
Lineage: Eukaryota; Fungi; Basidiomycota; Agaricomycetes; Agaricales; Tricholomataceae
Description: 5.8S ribosomal RNA
Rfam family: 5.8S ribosomal RNA
About the family: 5.8S ribosomal RNA (5.8S rRNA) is a component of the large subunit of the eukaryotic ribosome. It is transcribed by RNA polymerase I as part of the 45S precursor that also contains 18S and 28S rRNA.
Source: RNAcentral